UACAGCAACACCUACAUCAUGUUUUCUAACUCUUUUCUGGAUUCCAGCUCUCAGUUCUGAGGUUGACAGAUCCCUGGAUUACAUGAACUGUCAAUUUGUAAGCCUGCAUGCUUGGAGACUAUGGAACUGGUGCAAAUUUCCCCCUCUGCCAUUUAAAUCUCCUACUGAGUUUUCAACAUGAAACUCAAACUGGAAGCACUGGAAGGAGGAGAAAUGUGAGAAAGAAGUGAAUAAAGUGGUAUGAUGAAUUCAAUAUUCGUGUCCUUGGGCAAUAUGGAAAGAUUUAUACCCUAAUCCCUCUCCUGAAGUAUACCAAUUCUGUUUUAGUAAGAGACCAAAUGACUCCAAUUAUAUUUUCCAGCRAAUAAUGGUUGCAGAGUAUAUUUAUGCUACUCUGCUUAUAAGCUCAUUCCCAUAAUACUUAUUUUAAAAACUAUUUUACUACAGAUAUUUAACACUCACAAAAUGUUUUGUCCUUUAAAUGUUAUAGAGAACAGCUGUCAAAAAUCAGUGCUAUUCUGGCUCUUGCCRUUUGCUAGGGCCACUGCCUACAGGUAUUUGUCCUCUGUGAGGGUCAUCUGUACCUGGCAGGUAGGUUCUCAUGAAGAUUUUGAGACCUCCAGAUCCUCACCUCCACAGAAACCUUCUAACUCAUAUAUAUUUAAUAUUGUCUCCUAGUUCCCUGACAAUGUAACUUGCAGAGAACCUUGCUACUGUGUGUUUCYUCAUCAGCCGUUGCUCCAUGACACUUUUCUUUUCUAAUGGCCCAURUACAAUGAAGAUUUCAUGGCGCGGAAGAAGCUGCUAAUGAUGCCAGCUUAAGCACCCUUACUUUAUCUAGAAAUUUACUGUACAGUUGAGAAAACAACAUGCAGAAAAGCAUCCUCCUACCCUCACUUCAUAAACCGCCUUGACAUAUAUACAUACAUACCUACAUAACACACAUACACAAGCACACACACGCUGGUGCAAGCAUGCAUGCCGACCCACACACCUUCCCUGACAAUUUUGGAGCUCCAAAACAGCUUGUGCGAAUACGGCAAUAAAAUCCCAUUACUGUAUUAUCCCCUUGGCAGUAUGUUUUUUUCUGCACUAUGUAGAACAGUAAAAGAUAUGUUCAAAUAUUUAAUUAUGGAGCAGUGUAUUAGUAUUCCACACCGAUGUGGCUGUGUUUGUAGUUUGGCAAAUUUACUCGCCUUGUUGUCGGAUGGCUUGUUUUCUGAAUCUAAUACUCCACUGAUCUCUUGCGAUCGGUCUAGCUCAAAACAUGAAGGAGUUGGAACAUGCUUUGGAAGAGAAGCAUCCAGUUUACUCUUCCUACAUGCACAGGACUGUCUGGCCAGGAGGAAAAAUGAAAUCUGUCUACCAAACAACCUCAAGCCUGCGUUGUAAGGAUACUAUAGGAGGGGAAAAUGUGGAAAACUACUUGGUGUGCGUCUGUAAGGCUUGGGAUUGAGGCUCUUGUGCCUCAAACACAGCCAUAAUUGUAAGUUCUGAGUAUGUAUAUUCUAUUGCUACAUCUUACCACGUGUGAAUUUUGUGUUAAAAAGGGCUUUAAACUUGAUCUUUAUUUUAUUAUGCUAAUUUUUUGUUAAUUCUUUAGUGUCUUUCACACAAAAUGAUUGUUUUUUACUGUCAGCCUUAACCCCAUUUUAACUCAAGUUUUCAUCCAAAGGGAAAAGUUUUAUAUUUUAUGACUUUCUCUCUUCAUUUGUGCAGAGUUAAAUUUUUGUUAUGCAUUUAUUAAUAGUAAUUGCUUCUGGAAACUGAUUGUUUUGUUAGUAAUAUUUUUGUAUAUUUUAAGGUUGGAAAUAUCAUAAUAAAAAGGAAAAGAAAAACA
Dromaius novaehollandiae (emu) is the source of this 1840-nucleotide long non-coding RNA. The record is from Ensembl. Lineage: Eukaryota; Metazoa; Chordata; Aves; Casuariiformes; Dromaiidae.